RNAcentral lists this ribosomal RNA (540 nucleotides) under uncultured bacterium. RNAcentral describes it as "partial 16S ribosomal RNA". It matches the Rfam family "Bacterial small subunit ribosomal RNA", at positions 355 to 888 of the family's 1533-position model. The record is from RNAcentral.
UGGGGAAUUUUGGACAAUGGGGGAAACCCUGAUCCAGCCAUCCCGCGUGUGCGAUGAAGGCCUUCGGGUUGUAAAGCACUUUUGGCAGGAAAGAAACGUCGCGGGUUAAUACCCCGCGAAACUGACGGUACCUGCAGAAUAAGCACCGGCUAACUACGUGCCAGCAGCCGCGGUAAUACGUAGGGUGCAAGCGUUAAUCGGAAUUACUGGGCGUAAAGCGUGCGCAGGCGGUUCGGAAAGAAAGAUGUGAAAUCCCAGAGCUUAACUUUGGAACUGCAUUUUUAACUACCGGGCUAGAGUGUGUCAGAGGGAGGUGGAAUUCCGCGUGUAGCAGUGAAAUGCGUAGAUAUGCGGAGGAACACCGAUGGCGAAGGCAGCCUCCGGAUGAACACUGACGCUCAUGCACGAAAGCGUGGGGAGCAAACAGGAUUAGAUACCCUGGUAGUCCACGCCCUAAACGAUGUCAACUAGCUGUUGGGGCCUUCGGGCCUUGGUAGCGCAGCUAACGCGUGAAGUUGACCGCCUGGGGGAGUACGGUCG